This 193-nucleotide long non-coding RNA is filed under the name Chinchilla lanigera (long-tailed chinchilla). RNAcentral describes it as "lncRNA (ENSCLAG00000024240.1)". Lineage: Eukaryota; Metazoa; Chordata; Mammalia; Rodentia; Chinchillidae. The record is from RNAcentral.
GCAGAACUACAGCGAGAGGAUGUCUGGCUUCUCCGUGGCCAUGGGUAGACCUCCAGGGAUAUCUUCAGCGGACUUAGUGAUUGCAUAGCAAACUAGUAGGUAAAAAGUCUGCCUCUGCAAGGACGCCUGACCACAGCGCUAUCCAAACGACAUGUUCAGUGUGCAAGACCAGAAGGACUUAGGUAUUUUCACU